CGUAAGUAACCUGCCUUUAAGACGAGGAUAACAACCGGAAGGUUACUAAGACUGGAUAGGAAACAAAAAGGCAUCUUUUUGUUUUUAAAAGACCUUCUUACGAAGGUAUGCUUAAAGAGGGGCUUGCGCCACAUUAGUUAGUUGGUAGAGUAAAAGCCUACCAAGACGAUGAUGUGUAGCUGGACUGAGAGGUUGAACAGCCACAUUGGGACUGAGACACGGCCCAAACUCCUACGGGAGGCAGCAGUAGGGAAUUUUCGGCAAUGGAGGAAACUCUGACCGAGCAACGCCGCGUGAACGAUGAAGUAUUUCGGUAUGUAAAGUUCUUUUAUUGAAGAAGAAAAAGUAGUGGAAAAACUAUAUUGACGUUAUUCAAUGAAUAAGCCCCGGCUAACUAUGUGCCAGCAGCCGCGGUAAGACAUAGGGGGCGAGCGUUAUCCGGAAUUAUUGGGCGUAAAGGGUGCGUAGGCUGUUAGAUAAGUCUAUAAUUUAAUUUCAGUGCUUAACGCUGUCUUGUUAUAGAAACUGUCUUGACUAGAGUGAGAUAGAGGCAAGCGGAAUUCCAUGUGUAGCGGUAAAAUGUGUAAAUAUAUGGAGGAACACCAGAAGCGUAGGCGGCUUGCUGGGUCUUUACUGACGCUGAGGCACGAAAGCGUGGGUAGCAAACAGGAUUAGAUACCCUGGUAGUCCACGCCGUAAACGAUGAGUACUAAGUGUCGGGGUAAAACUCGGUACUGAAGUUAACACAUUAAGUACUCCGCCUGAGUAGUACGUACGCAAGUAUGAAACUUAAAGGAAUUGACGGGACUCCGCACAAGCGGUGGAUCAUGUUGUUUAAUUCGAAGAUACACGAAAAAUCUUACCAGGUCUUGACAUACUCUGCAAAGCUAUAGAAAUAUAGUGGAGGUUAUCAGGGAUACAGGUGGUGCAUGGUUGUCGUCAGUUCGUGUCGUGAGAUGUUAGGUUAAGUCCUAAAACGAACGCAACCCUUGUCGUUAAUUGCCAGCACAUAAUGGUGGGGACUUUAACGAGACUGCCAAUUAAACAUUGGAGGAAGGUGAGGAUUACGUCAAAUCAUCAUGCCCCUUAUGAUCUGGGCUACAAACGUGAUACAAUGGCUGUGACAAAGAGUAGCUGAAACGCGAGUUUUUAGCCAAUCUCAAAAAAGCAGUCUCAGUUCGGAUUGAAGUCUGUAACUCGACUUCAUGAAGUUGGAAUCGCUAGUAAUCGCGAAUCAGCAUGUCGCGGUGAAUACGUUCUCGGGGUUUGUACACACCGCCCGUCAAACCACGAAAGUUAGCAAUGCCCGAAAGCAGUAGCUU
Molecule: ribosomal RNA, 1322 nt
Filed under: Candidatus Phytoplasma trifolii
Lineage: Bacteria; Bacillati; Mycoplasmatota; Mollicutes; Acholeplasmatales; Acholeplasmataceae
Also listed under: 1 other name
Description: partial 16S ribosomal RNA
Rfam family: Bacterial small subunit ribosomal RNA
Source: RNAcentral